AACGAGCGCUGGCGGCAUGCCUAACACAUGCAAGUCGAACGAGACCUUCGGGUCUAGUGGCGCACGGGUGCGUAACGCGUGGGAACCUGCCCUUAGGUUCGGAAUAACUCAGAGAAAUUUGAGCUAAUACCGGAUAAUGUCUUCGGACCAAAGAUUUAUCGCCUUUGGAUGGGCCCGCGUAGGAUUAGCUUGUUGGUGGGGUAAUGGCCUACCAAGGCGACGAUCCUUAGCUGGUCUGAGAGGAUGAUCAGCCACACUGGGACUGAGACACGGCCCAGACUCCUACGGGAGGCAGCAGUGGGGAAUAUUGGACAAUGGGCGAAAGCCUGAUCCAGCAAUGCCGCGUGAGUGAUGAAGGCCUUAGGGUUGUAAAGCUCUUUUACCAGGGAUGAUAAGGACAGUACCUGGAGAAUAAACUCCGGCUAACUCCGU
This 432-nucleotide ribosomal RNA is filed under the name uncultured bacterium. Its description in RNAcentral is "partial 16S ribosomal RNA". It matches the Rfam family "Bacterial small subunit ribosomal RNA", at positions 29 to 506 of the family's 1533-position model. The record is from RNAcentral.